Molecule: non-coding RNA, 178 nt
Organism: Paramuricea clavata
Lineage: Eukaryota; Metazoa; Cnidaria; Anthozoa; Malacalcyonacea; Plexauridae
Source: the annotation of a GenBank genome assembly
UAUAAAACAAAUAAUGAAUGUUUUUAUUCGUGCAAUGGUAAGAAUAUUUUCAUUCGGUGAAAGAUGGAAUGUUCCAUUCAACUCUGCUGUCGCCUCGUUGAAUGGAACAUUCCAUCUUUCACCUCAUGAAAAUAUUCUAACCAUUGCACGAAUAAAAACAUUCAUUAUUUGUAUACUG